This 253-nucleotide ribosomal RNA is filed under the name uncultured bacterium. RNAcentral's name for it is "partial 16S ribosomal RNA". It matches the Rfam family "Bacterial small subunit ribosomal RNA", at positions 524 to 776 of the family's 1533-position model. The record is from RNAcentral.
UACGUAGGGUGCGAGCGUUGCCCGGAUUUAUUGGGCGUAAAGGGCGCGUAGGCGGCCACGCACGUCCGUUGUGAAAUCGCCCGGCUCAACUGGGCGGGGUCGGCGGAUACGGCGUGGCUGGAGCAAGCUAGGGGGCAAUGGAAUUCCCGGUGUAGUGGUGGAAUGCGUAGAUAUCGGGAGGAACACCGGUGGCGAAGGCGGCGACCUGGGUAGAUACUGACGCUGAGGUGCGAAAGCGUGGGGAGCAAACAGG